UAUGUUUCAGCUUUCCCAGCCCGGCAAAAUAGGACUAUCUGUCAUGAAAAUUUUGGUGAAAUUUCCUUUCUGCUACUGUCUCCUCUCGUUCUCUUAGCCCUUGGUUGAAACAAACUGGUUUUAAGUAUGAAAGUACUGUUCUACCAUGGACAGUGGUUAGCUAUUCUCCAUUUCCAUAGAAGAGAUCUUCUUCAACAAGAAGAGCCAACAAAGUGAAUAUAUAGUUUGGAUUGAAGAAAAUUAAUAAUUUCCUGAUGGAAUUGGUACAGAGUUGUAAACACCCUCUGAAGGGCUUUGGAAGGAGUCUGAAGUGGGUGGUCAGGGGAUGUGGUUCACUAAGUGUGGUCCCUGGACCAGAGCAUCAGCAUUACCUGGAAACUUGUUCAAGGUGCAAAUUUUCCAGACUUCCUGUAUCAGAAACUCCUGGGGUGUGGCUCAGCCAUCUGUGGCUUCUGGAAGAAGACCACCCACCAACAGGAAUAACCACUGGCUUGCUCUGCAUUCUUUCCUCUAAGAGAACUCAAGGGCAGUCCUGAUUGGCUCAGAAGAGCCCCAACAAAUACAGUGCUGGCAGAUGACUCCUUUAUUUGCAAGGAGAAGACUGGUUUGCAGCCAGCAGCAGCCUACAACCCUGACCAGCAGACAACUGCAAACCUGGGAGGGGUAUGUGGGCCCGCACAGCAGACAGAGCACUGGAGAGGCAGCUAAUGUACUCAUGCCUACAUUCUUUCACCAGGGACUUUUUUCCCUAAGCAAACAACAAUAAAAAAAUCUGAAUGGAAGAAUGUGUACAGAGUGCUGAACUAAGUGGUGGGGGAGCCCGAUUCUUAAUGUGUACUUUUUCUCAUAAUAAACUCUGCUCC
This is a long non-coding RNA of Bos taurus (domestic cattle), 863 nucleotides long. The record is from Ensembl. Lineage: Eukaryota; Metazoa; Chordata; Mammalia; Artiodactyla; Bovidae.